RNAcentral lists this ribosomal RNA (252 nucleotides) under uncultured bacterium. RNAcentral's name for it is "partial 16S ribosomal RNA". It matches the Rfam family "Bacterial small subunit ribosomal RNA", at positions 524 to 776 of the family's 1533-position model. The record is from RNAcentral.
UACGUAGGGUGCAAGCGUUGUCCGGAAUUAUUGGGCGUAAAGAGCUCGUAGGCGGUUUGUCGCGUCUGCUGUGAAAACGCGAGGCUCAACCUCGCGCCUGCAGUGGGUACGGGCAGACUAGAGUGCGGUAGGGAGAUUGGAAUUCCUGGUGUAGCGGUGGAAUGCGCAGAUAUCAGGAGGAACACCGAUGGCGAAGGCAGAUCUCUGGGCCGUUACUGACGCUGAGGAGCGAAAGCGUGGGGAGCGAACAGG